This 392-nucleotide ribosomal RNA is filed under the name uncultured bacterium. RNAcentral describes it as "partial 16S ribosomal RNA". It matches the Rfam family "Bacterial small subunit ribosomal RNA", at positions 523 to 918 of the family's 1533-position model. The record is from RNAcentral.
AUACGGAGGAUCCGAGCGUUAUCCGGAUUUAUUGGGUUUAAAGGGUGCGCAGGCGGCCAUUUAAGUCAGCGGUUAAAUCGUGGGGCUCAACCCCAUUCUGCCGUUGAUACUGGGUGGCUUGAUUGCGGUCGAGGUUGGCGGAAUUCGUUGUGUAGCGGUGAAAUGCAUAGAUAUGACGAAGAACACCGAUUGCGUAGGCAGCUGUCCAGACCGCAAAUGACGCUCAUGCACGAAAGUGCGGGGAUCGAACAGGAUUAGAUACCCUGGUAGUCCGCACAGUAAACGAUGAAUACUUGUUUUCGGCGAUAUAAUGUCGGAGGCAAAGCGAAAGCGAUAAGUAUUCCACCUGGGGAGUACGCCGGCAACGGUGAAACUCAAAGGAAUUGACGGGG